This 567-nucleotide ribosomal RNA is filed under the name uncultured bacterium. Its description in RNAcentral is "bacterial SSU rRNA". It matches the Rfam family "Bacterial small subunit ribosomal RNA", at positions 1 to 564 of the family's 1533-position model. The record is from RNAcentral.
CUCGAGGCCAGAUCUAGAGUUUGAUCCUGGCUGAGAAUGAACGUUGGCGGCGUGGAUUAGGCAUGCAAGUCGAGCGAGAAACCAAUUAGCUUGCUAAGAGGUGGACAGCGGCGAAAGGGAGAGUAACGCGUGGUUACGUGCCCUCGGGACCGGGAUAGUGUCGGGAAACUGGCAGUAAUACCGGAUAACAUCUUUGGAUCAAAUGGUGAGAUUCCGCCCGAGGAUCGGACCGCGUACUAUUAGCUUGUUGGCGGGGUAACGGCCCACCAAGGCUGCGAUGGUUACCGGGUGUGAGAGCGUGGCCCGGCUCACUGGGACUGAGACACUGCCCAGACAUCUACGGAUGGCUGCAGUCGAGAAUCUUCGGCAAUGGACGAAAGUCUGACCGAGCGACGCCGCGUGCGGGAUGAAGGCCCUCGGGUUGUAAACCGCUGUCAGUUAGGAGGAAAUCCAUGGGGGUUCUCCCUCAUGGUUGACCGACUUUCAGAGGAAGGACGGGCUAAGUUCGUGCCAGCAGCCGCGGUAACACGAACCGUCCAAACGUUAUUCGGUAUCACUGGGCUUAAA